This 427-nucleotide ribosomal RNA is filed under the name uncultured bacterium. RNAcentral describes it as "bacterial SSU rRNA". It matches the Rfam family "Bacterial small subunit ribosomal RNA", at positions 359 to 776 of the family's 1533-position model. The record is from RNAcentral.
GAAUUUUUCGCAAUGGGCGAAAGCCUGACGAAGCAACGCCGCGUGGAGGAUGAAGGCCCUAGUGGUCGUAAACUCCUGUCUAGCGGGACGAAAGUCUUGCCAGAGGAUAUUUGGCGAGAUUGACUGUACCGCUGGAGGAAGCUCCGGCCCACUCCGUGCCAGCAGCCGCGGUAAUACGGCGGGAGCAAGCGUUACUCGGAAUUAUGGGGCGUAAAGGGCGCGUAGGCGACCUGGCAAGUCAACUGUGAAAGCCCCGAGCUUAACUCGGGAAGUGCAGCUGAUACUGCUGGGUUUGAGCUCCGGAGAGGAAGGCAGAAUUCCCGGUGUAGCGGUGAAAUGCGUAGAUAUCGGGAGGAAUACCAGUGGCGAAGGCGGCCUUCUGGACGGAUACUGACGCUGAGGCGCGAAAGCUAGGGGAGCAAACGGG